UGUAGCCACUAGGCCCUGCUGCUUCACCAAGAUCAUCAAGAAAAAACCCAAAAUAUAAAGAUGCAGAAUGGACUUGCUGCUAAAUUGCUUUUAACCCUACCACCCUGAUUUUAUUUAGGUCCCCUCACACAGGAAAAUAUAGCAUAGAAGAGGAAGAUAGCCAGGAAAAGAUGAGGGGAGACAGUAAGUAUAACAAAAAAAUUUGCUGAAGAUAAGUGUGGAUAUGAUGAAUAUUGUUGUAGUCUUCCAAACCGCAUUAUGGUGCCAGAUAAUUUUUAAAAUACUUAAGACUUUCUUCAAUAGUGGCAUUUCAGAAGGCCGGCAGAUGUCUUGAGUGUGUUCUUCGCUAGUUAGAAGAAGCAUCAGAAGGUAAGACUGCCAAAGCAAGAAGGGAAUUGUGGCAUUUUAUUUGUCUAAUUAGGAGUCGCUGAGUGUGAAGGAGAGUUGGUAAGUCACAGAUGAAUAACUAUUAGCAACUAUUCUUUACAGAGCAAGGCUUUCUAAUACAAGCUUAUCUUAAGGAGAGGAAAAGGAUAUGAGAAAUUAAAAAGCUUGAAUCUUCAGAUAAAGUGAACAGUUUAGAUGAAUCACACAUUCAUUGGACAAUAGAUGGAAUAUCCAAACAGCUGCUCAGUGGAGACUUGAACUGGGAAAACUUCAGAUGAGAGACAGGAGAAACCUUACCCCAAAUGAAGCUGAAAUCUCAAAACUACGUGACAAAGCCCCGGAUAUUUGGGAGGUAGCAGUAGAAGAUGGCCCAUUGUGCAUUAAUUACACGGUGUCUCUGGGAACUGAAGCUUUGUGAAAAUUGGGACACCAAGGGAGACACAGAAAUGUUGGCAGGCAGUGGAAACUAUUGUCAGUCACUGACCCGUCUCAGUCAAACUCAGAAGACACCACUAAAGCCUCAGUAGCACCAUCUUCAAAUCUGAAAGAGACUCCAGUCUGACAGCCACCCCUUCGGUUUGGAUCUCUUGAAGCAUAUGCUCUGAUGUUUUUUGCUGAUGAUCGCCUCUUAGAUCCACAAUGAGCUAUAUGAGGCUCAUCCUGCAAUUGAAGACUCCCAGCCAACGUCAACCAGAAGAAAGUCUGAAUUCUGUUGCUAAGUGAAACUGACUAGAAUUAGAGGAUCCUAUUUAGCCACUCUGUACAGCUGGUUUCUCCUCCCAAAUGCUCAAAACAGAAGGAAAGGGAUAAAUUUCAUCCAAUCCUGUAGCACCAAGUGUCAAGUGACCCUAGAGGGAAGUUGAGUCUAUUACCUGGGGGGUUUUAUUUUAUGCUUUUUGGUAUAUGCAGCAUUAUGCUCUGGGAUGAUAUCCGGGUUUAAAAAAAAAAAAGGUAUGAAGGGGUAAAGGAGGAAGGAAAGUCCCAGGAGAAAAAUGUGAAAAAGGAAAUAGAGAAAGCAUAGGGAUGAGAAGACUGAGCCUCCAGGGUCAAGUCACUGGGAAGUCUUUUCUUGAUUAUUUGAUCAAGUCUCACCAAAUUUGCUAGUCCCACCAAACAUUAAAUAGGCCUCCGGUUUAAGCAGAGAAUAGCCAAAAUAAGCUAAAACGCAUCUAACUGACCUAAUUUAAGAUGUCAGCUACUUAAUGGGACCAACCGGUGAGGUCCCUGUUGACUUCAGUACGAACUGCGCUGCAGCAACAUCUGUGGCUUCCCCGCUUUGAGACUCAACCCGCCCUGCUCAUGACUGGAGGGAGGAUGGAAGAGAUUGGUGGCAAAGGAGACCACUGGUAGAAAAGGCAGCAGGGGCAGAAUUGAGCCGUGCUUGUGGCAGCCGGGGUUGUGAGGAAGCAUCAGUGGCAGCCGGGGUUGUGAGGAAGCAUCAGUGGCACAUGAGGGUGUUGGGCUGGUGGGGAGGGUAUCUGAGACUGGGUUGGGAAGGAGUGCCUGGCAUCGGGUGAGAAAGGGGCAGUGAGUUGCCUAGGACCAACUAAGACUCUGAUUAGGUUGUCCCUCGACUGUGACGUUCAUUUGUUUGGUCUUUGGCCCGUUGACCUUACCUGGUUUGGCCUGGAUGAUGUGGGUAGUUUACCAACCUCAGUAUAGUCUAGCAUUUCCCCUCACCCAUGCCCAGUAAGUUAAAUGUUUUUGUGCAAAUGUUUCUGUACAAGGAAGUUUCUAUAAAGGUGUCGGGUUUGGGGAAGAGGGAGGGAAAGGUAUGCCGAUUGUUGUCCACCCAUUCCCUAUCAACUAGGCUUGGUGUUUGUAGUGUGAGGAUUUUUUUGUGUUCAUUUUUACCCCCUAACCCUUGAGUCAUUUCUGUUGUCAUCAGUUAGGGUAGGUUGCAGUCUGGAAAAACCAAUAAAGGGCCCAAGGCAGGUGUCUUUAGACCCUCAUGUAAGACUUGAGACCCAACAACAAGUGACAUUUAAUAUGUGCAUAACUGAGGCCCACCAUCAAACGUGUUCCUCUCCUUUUGUGCACCACAAGAAUUUGAAAGCCAGGGUUUAACUUCAGAGAAAUAGCUCUUAUUUCAGUAGAAACGAGAUGUUGAAGAAUUACCAAGAAGCUGAUUCACCCUCUAAAUUUACCCCUCGGACUCACUGGAACCUAUCUGCGUGUAUCCUUCUAGCAACUCUCCAGUACAUCACAAGGAGAUCAGAGUAUAAGUUUGCUGUGGCCAGCGAAUAUAUCUACCAACUGUUGUGCUCUCCCAAGUGGUUAAUACUGUGCGACACA
This is a long non-coding RNA of Ornithorhynchus anatinus (platypus), 2682 nucleotides long. RefSeq lists it as uncharacterized. Lineage: Eukaryota; Metazoa; Chordata; Mammalia; Monotremata; Ornithorhynchidae. The record is from RefSeq and is a predicted model, not a curated record. The transcript has 6 exons.